UUACUACUUAAUAUACACAUGCAAGCAUCCACCCCCCUGUGAAAACGCCCUUCAACCCCCAACUGGGGCAAGGAGCUGGUAUCAGGCACGAUUAUCUGCCCAAGACGCCUAGCUUUGCCACACCUUCAAAGGAGUUCAGCAGUGAUUAACAUUGAGCAUUAGCGCAAGCUUGACUCAGUUAAAGUAAAAUAGAGCCGGCCAAUCUGGUGCCAGCCGCCGCGGUUACACCACAUGACUCAAAUUGACCACCUCCGGCGUAAAGCGUGAUUAAAGUUGCCCACCCUCCCCCUACUAGAGCUAAACCAAAACCGCGCUGUAACACGCCCGUUUACCAAUGAAACUCAAAAACGAAAGUUACUCUAAUACAACCGACUUGAACUCACGACAGCUGGGAGACAAACUGGGAUUAGAUACCCCACUAUGCUCAGCCACAAACUUUUAAUUACACCCUUAAUCGCCAGGGAACUACGAGCCAAGCUUAAAACCCAAAGGACUUGACGGUACCCCAUAUCCCCCUAGAGGAGCCUGUCCUAUAACCGAUAACCCACGUUAAACCUCACCAUUUUUAGUUAUCAGCCUGUAUACCUCCGUCGUCAGCUUACCACGUGAGCGCCAGUAAGUAAGCCCAAUGUUACUCCACCAGCACGUCAGGUCAAGGUGCAGCAAAUAAAAUGGAAAGAGAUGGGCUACACUUUCUACAUUAGAAAAAACGAAAAACUUUAUGAAAUCUAGUUGGAAGGCGGAUUUAGCAGUAAAAUGGAAUCAGAACAUCCAUUUUAACACGGCACUGGGGUGUGUACACACCGCCCGUCACCCUCUUCAAAACUACCAAUAAAGUUUUUAACCCACCAAAACACAAUAGAAGAGGUAAGUCGUAACAUGGUAAGUAUACCGGAAGGUGUGCUUGGAAA
RNAcentral lists this non-coding RNA (911 nucleotides) under Ansonia tiomanica (Pulo Tioman stream toad). RNAcentral's name for it is "partial 12S ribosomal RNA". It matches the Rfam family "Bacterial small subunit ribosomal RNA". The record is from RNAcentral. Lineage: Eukaryota; Metazoa; Chordata; Amphibia; Anura; Bufonidae.